GCCCCUGUAGCUCAAUUGGAUAGAGUGUUGCCCUCCGAAGGCAAAGGUUCCAGAUUCGAAUUCUGGCAGGGGCAC
Molecule: transfer RNA, 75 nt
Filed under: Ardenticatenaceae bacterium
Lineage: Bacteria; Bacillati; Chloroflexota; Ardenticatenia; Ardenticatenales; Ardenticatenaceae
Description: tRNA-Arg
Rfam family: tRNA
About the family: Transfer RNA (tRNA) molecules are approximately 80 nucleotides in length.
Source: RNAcentral